UUUGAUCCUGGCUCAGGAUAAAACGCUGGCGGCGCACAUAAGACAUGCAAGUCGAACGAACUUAAUCUCUUGCUUGCAAGAGAAGCGGUUAGUGGCGGACUGGUGAGUAACACGUAAGAAAUCUGCCUAUCAGAGGGGAAUAACAGUGAGAAAUCACUGCUAAUACCGCAUAUGCCAUAGGGUUCGCAUGAACCUAGUGGGAAAGGAGCAAUCCGCUGAUAGAUGAGCUUGCGUCUGAUUAGCUAGUUGGUGGGGUAAAGGCCUACCAAGGCAACGAUCAGUAGCCGGACUGAGAGGUUGAACGGCCACAUUGGGACUGAGAUACGGCCCAGACUCCUACGGGAGGCAGCAGUCGGGAAUAUUGCGCAAUGGAGGAAACUCUGACGCAGUGACGCCGCGUAUAGGAAGAAGGUUUUCGGAUUGUAAACUAUUGUCCACAGGGAAGAUAAAAGACUGUACCUGUGAAGAAAGCUCCGGCUAACUACGUG
RNAcentral lists this ribosomal RNA (488 nucleotides) under uncultured bacterium. RNAcentral's name for it is "bacterial SSU rRNA". It matches the Rfam family "Bacterial small subunit ribosomal RNA", at positions 12 to 507 of the family's 1533-position model. The record is from RNAcentral.